GGCUUCUGCUUGCUGUUCCUCUGCGACGCCGGCAAUGUUGAGCCGGACGACGACGACGGCGACGACGACGACGACGAGACAGCUUCUGAUCAUGAUGAGAAAGUGUGAUUUCAAUUAACGGACUGUCCAGAUUACGCUUAAUCAAGUCUUACACUUGAAGCAACGUAUCAUUUCUUCGUAAUUAAUCACAAAUUAACUAGGAAACAAUCAAAUAUAUGUGCAGAAUUUGAAGACGUAAGUGAGAAAGUUUAGCAGAUAUAUAGUGUUGGUGUGUGUAUGUGCAGUGUGAUAUUUUUCUUGCUUAUUAUGUGUUGACUUAAUUACUUGGGUUAAUGUAGCGGUAAGUUGGUUUUAUGUACAAAUCAUACUUUUUAAUCAAAGGGAAAUGCCAACCCUCGAGUGAUGAGCUACACGCUCUCCCUCAAAUUACGAAACUUGUGUUAAUUAGUCAUCUAUAUGCAUGAGAUCUUUAAAAUGUAACUUUGCUGAUUAACAGAUUUGAGACUGGACCUCG
This 514-nucleotide long non-coding RNA is filed under the name Oryza brachyantha (malo sina). Its description in RNAcentral is "long non-coding RNA (OBRA_LNC000036)". The record is from RNAcentral. Lineage: Eukaryota; Viridiplantae; Streptophyta; Magnoliopsida; Poales; Poaceae.